AUGGGCCCCGCGCGCGGUGAUGUCAUGCGCGGCAGCCGCAGCGCGCGGCGCCAACGGCCGCUAAUGGCCGCUAACCGCCCGCCCUUUUCUUCCCUCUGUCCUCCUCCUCCUCCGCGGGCAGGACGUCUCUCACACUCACAUACACACGUGCUUUCCACGCUGGGUCCCGAGGGGCCAGGGGUGAAGGAUGGAGGGAGGACUUGCACACUCCGUUUUAGCCUUACAGCUCAGCGCGUGGCACACGGCUUUGCGAUGGCGCGGGCCUACUCCGUGCUGGUGCCGAGGCCUUGGCUGGAGGAGCACGGACAGCGGGCCAUGGAGGCGGGCAGACGUGGGGCAGCACACUGGCAGUCGGGUGCGCAGGGGAUCCAUCCCCCCUCCUUGCACCGAGCCCCAUGCCAAGCGCGCUGUGUUGGGAGGCACACACCGCUUUUUUCAUCCACACAGACCCUAAAAAGAAACAGCGCCAUGGUUGGCUUUUACUGUUCAGGUUUAAUGCCAUCCCUGCUAGGGCAUAAUAAACCCUUCAUCCUGGUGCCCUCCUCACGAUCCAUGGGAUGCCUCCUCUCUGUAUCUGGUAGGGUUAAGAAAUUUCAUAGCAGCACAGGGGCAUUUUGCGGAUGGCUCAGGCCUGAGCGCCCAGACCCUGCCAGAGCAGAUACAGCUGUGCCCAGCAUGUCCCCAAACAGUUCUGAGCUGCUCACUGGACUGACUAGAUUGGCCUCAGAUCUGACUUACUACCUUGCUUUGUCUGAUGGCUACUGGAGAGCAAACAGAACCUGUUCCUAUCAGCAACCCUGCUUGGGUGCUGUGGGUGCUGUUUGGCAAGGGCACAGCCCUGCCUGCGUUGUGGUCACCCUUGGCUCCCAGCUCAUCCUUUCCUGUAGAGCAGCCCUGAUCCUGCUGCUCCUGGUAGUUAGUUCAACAAGGCCUGGAGGACUAGGCUGGAGCUUGAAUAGCACUCCUGGCUGGGCCCACAGGCAGAGGGUGCAGGGUGGAGGGCCCACAGGCAGAGGAUGCAGAGGAGGUAAGGCCUACUGGUGCCUCACAGGAAGGCGUAAAAGGCAUAAAAGGGGUCUAACCUCCCUUAAGAUCUACCUGUAG
Molecule: long non-coding RNA, 1104 nt
Filed under: Apteryx haastii (Great spotted kiwi)
Lineage: Eukaryota; Metazoa; Chordata; Aves; Apterygiformes; Apterygidae
Description: lncRNA (ENSAHAG00000012307.1)
Source: RNAcentral